Molecule: ribosomal RNA, 478 nt
Filed under: uncultured bacterium
Lineage: Bacteria
Description: bacterial SSU rRNA
Rfam family: Bacterial small subunit ribosomal RNA
Source: RNAcentral
AUCAUGGCUCAGGACGAACGCUGGCGGCGUGCCUAACACAUGCAAGUCGAACGGGGUGAAGCCCUUCGGGACUUCACUUAGUGGCGAACGGGUGAGUAACGCGUGAGGAACCUGCCUCAAAGAGGGGGACAACAGUUGGAAACGACUGCUAAUACCGCAUAAGCCCACGGCUCGGCAUCGAGCAGAGGGAAAAGGAGUGAUCCGCUUUGAGAUGGCCUCGCGUCCGAUUAGCUAGUUGGUGAGGUAACGGCCCACCAAGGCGACGAUCGGUAGCCGGACUGAGAGGUUGAACGGCCACAUUGGGACUGAGACACGGCCCAGACUCCUACGGGAGGCAGCAGUGGGGAAUAUUGGGCAAUGGGGGAAACCCUGACCCAGCAACGCCGCGUGAAGGAAGAAGGCCUCGGGUUGUAAACUUCUUUUACCAGGGACGAAGGACGUGACGGUACCUGGAGAAAAAGCAACGGCUAACUACGUG